GAUGAACGCUGGCGGCGUGCCUAAUACAUGCAAGUCGAGCGAACGGACGAGAAGCUUGCUUCUCUGAUGUUAGCGGCGGACGGGUGAGUAACACGUGGAUAACCUACCUAUAAGACUGGGAUAACUUCGGGAAACCGGAGCUAAUACCGGAUGAUAUUUUGAACCGCAUGGUUCAAAAGUGAAAGACGGUCUUGCUGUCACUUAUAGAUGGAUCCGCGCUGCAUUAGCUAGUUGGUAAGGUAACGGCUUACCAAGGCAACGAUGCAUAGCCGACCUGAGAGGGUGAUCGGCCACACUGGAACUGAGACACGGUCCAGACUCCUACGGGAGGCAGCAGUAGGGAAUCUUCCGCCAUGGGCGAAAGCCUGACGGAGCAACGCCGCGUGAGUGAUGAAGGUCUUCGGAUCGUAAAACUCUGUUAUUAGGGAAGAACAUAUGUGUAAGUAACUGCGCACAUCUUGACGGUACCUAAUCAGAAAGCCACGGCUAACUACGUG
RNAcentral lists this ribosomal RNA (497 nucleotides) under uncultured bacterium. Its description in RNAcentral is "partial 16S ribosomal RNA". It matches the Rfam family "Bacterial small subunit ribosomal RNA", at positions 28 to 507 of the family's 1533-position model. The record is from RNAcentral.